RNAcentral lists this long non-coding RNA (1129 nucleotides) under Cyanistes caeruleus (blue tit). Its description in RNAcentral is "lncRNA (ENSCCEG00000006374.1)". Lineage: Eukaryota; Metazoa; Chordata; Aves; Passeriformes; Paridae. The record is from RNAcentral.
CUUGUGCAGGGGCAGGUGGAGAGAAAGGAUAUGAGUGAGCUUGGGGGAGCCCAAUAACACAGUGCUUUAGCUGUCUGUCUUCAGACAUUUGUUCUCUGAGGAACACUCCUUCCCUACACUGUCUGUAGUGCUGGAGGACUCUGGGAUAAGGCAGAAGAAAGCUCCAAGGUGUCCUCAACCCAUUGCAAUGGAAGUUCCAUCCAUGGUGAUGUGAAGCCCCCUCAGGAAGUGAGCAUGUGGGAAGAAGGCUGGAGCAGACCAAACUGGGGCUGCGUUCCUUUGGCUACUCCUCCUCUUGCAGAGCAGGUGUCAGCAGAGCACAAGAACCAAGAGAGUUAGAAGUGGCUGCCCCUGGACAAUGUCUACAAUAUCCACAGCCAGGAGAGGGGAAGAAGGUUAAUUCUGUGCCUGGAGGUGCUACCUCAUUCCAGGAGAACCUUGUAUUUGUGGCAUGCUCUGAGACCUCCUGAAGACAGCAGGGUACAGCCCUUGCCCCCUCCUCUACCUCCACAGCUAUAAGAGGAGAACCUGGACUCACUUCCACGCUGGAGUCUGUAAGCAGUGAUGCGGCUGCGGCGAAGGCAGCAAAUCCUCCGGCUGUGCGUGCCCUCCCUGGACUGCUGCUCCAUCCCCGCCUGCCGUGGCCGCGCGUGUGCAUGGCUGGGAGCGCUGCCUAGGUGCGGCCGGGAAUGAGACAGCUGCGGGGCGAGCAUCGCUCCAGCUCCAAGGGCUGACACGAGUGGGGGAUAGCCACACACACCCCCCACCGCCCCCCGAACACAUCUGCAGGGCUGCAAGUUGCUUGAGGACCGGGGUAUUUUGUGCCUCCACUUCGUCUCUGUCAUGCCCCGUAUGGAAGCUGGGAGCAGUCACCCCUCCAGAAGCAGAAGGCGAAGUCAUUCGCAAUGAAUCCAUGGCAGCUUCGAUCGAGCGGUGAGCUGGAGCACCCACUCCCAGGCCACUCCUUCACGUGACUGAACAGAGACCUUUGCCAGCACUCGCCAAGGAGAGCAGAGCCCUGGAUUUCCCUCCCGCGCACCCGGCACCCCCAGCGCAGGCACUGCGAGGUAAGCCAAGCCCGGCACCUCUGUCUGUGCCUCUCUCCAUCCCGCCCUCCCUCCCUCGCCUG